AUGAACGCUGGCGGCGUGCCUAAUACAUGCAAGUCGAGCGAACGGACGAGAAGCUUGCUUCUCUGAUGUUAGCGGCGGACGGGUGAGUAACACGUGGAUAACCUACCUAUAAGACUGGGAUAACUUCGGGAAUCCGGAGCUAAUACCGGAUAAUAUUUUGAACCGCCUGGUUCAAAAGUGAAAGACGGUCUUGCUGUCACUUAUAGAUGGAUCCGCGCUGCAUUAGCUAGUUGGUAAGGUAACGGCUUACCAAGGCAACGAUGCAUAGCCGACCUGAGAGGGUGAUCGGCCACACUGGAACUGAGACACGGUCCAGACUCCUACGGGAGGCAGCAGUAGGGAAUCUUCCGCAAUGGGCGAAAGCCUGACGGAGCAACGCCGCGUGAGUGAUGAAGGUCUUCGGAUCGUAAAACUCUGUUAUUAGGGAAGAACAUAUGUGUAAGUAACUGUGCACAUCUUGACGGUACCUAAUCAGAAAGCCACGGCUAACUACGUG
RNAcentral lists this ribosomal RNA (496 nucleotides) under uncultured bacterium. RNAcentral's name for it is "partial 16S ribosomal RNA". It matches the Rfam family "Bacterial small subunit ribosomal RNA", at positions 29 to 507 of the family's 1533-position model. The record is from RNAcentral.